GAAGGAGCCAAUGCAUGCUCCAUUUUUCUUUUGAAUUACAUUUUAGAAAAGAGACUAGACCUGACACUAACUGCAAGAAAAUGCUACAAUAAACCACUAAUAAUUCCAAAUUUGCUGUAUAAUUCAAUAAUGUUGACUAGAAAAACUCAAAAAAAAAAUUGUAGGCAUUGUAAAGAAAUGUAAUGCCUAAAAUAAUAAACAGAUUUCCAAUCCUAAUCUAUAAAAAGCCAUUUAGGUCAAAUAUUUUACACUAAAAUAUACAAUUUCGUUUUUUCUCGUUUCUUUUGUUUAGAAUGAUUUCUGUGGUCCCUUUGUCUGUUCUGUGAUUUUUCCAACAUGCAAAGUAAAGCUAAGCUUUCCUGUGAUAUUAGAGCUGAAAUAUCGCAGGAGAGCAGCUUUAUUUUAGACAAAUGGAGCCUCCUGCACCCUUGGAUUGGUUGUUUCUUUCUGUUCCUUCCAGCUGAGUUCAGUUUGUUUUGACCUGAGUUUCCUCUGCUGACUUUGUCUAAGACGCUGACUAAAACCUUGCUGUGCGAUUCUCCGUCAAAACACAAACUUGUUUUGCCUGCAGCCUGAGGGAGGAUCUGCUGCGGUUCGAAGCUGCGACACGCUGUUUUUACGAGCAGCACUUCCACAUCAAGUCAGAUGUUUGCAGAGUAGCUCAUACCUGAAAUUCAUCCUUCAGGCUGUUUUUCAAAAGGUUUUUUUUUUUUUUUAGGGAAGCUGAUGUGUUUUUCCUUCAAAACAAUCUUUUUUUUAAGUAUUUUAACCAACAGAAUGCUUGUAAUCAGCUGGUAAAUGUGUUUUUAUGUCAUUAAAAAUCAACAUUUGUUCUCACAGGUACUAUUUAAAGCCGUCUGAAACAGAUUUUCUCUUCUGUCCCACAAUUAGGCAACAGGAAAAUUUGGUUCAAGUGAUCUUCACGAAAUUUCAUGCCGUCAGCUUAAGUUUACAACCACAACUGACGAUUUGUUGACCUUUGACCUUGCAAAAGGGUCAACUAUCUAUAGUACCUUCUACAAAUUUAAACUCUUCCCAGCAAUCGACUAAUAACUUCUCAAGUCAUUGGGAAAAAGAUGCUUGGGAAACAUUUUGGAGUUAGAAGUUUUAGAUGUUAAAUGGCUUUAGUUACUUUUGCCGAUUCUUCUAAAAGUUACACGGAUCUUUGCGGCAUCCCCAGGCAACAAAAACAUAAAAUGGUUGCUAUGGAGAAAACGGAAAAGUCGCCAUUUAAAAAAUAAAAAACAUAUUUUUUUUAAAUGAAUUUCUCCCAUGCAGCUCUGACUAGGGAGGCUGGGGGAAGAGAGGAAGACGGAAGCAUCUGCUCAGCCGGAACGAGCAGGUAUAAAGGGUCCGGUUCCUUUUUUGGUCGAAGCUCCAGAAUCAGAAAUCAGGAAACACCGAAGAAACGGGACAGAGAAAAGCUUUUCUGGGUUUUGCUGCUUCAUCCUUCAUGCUGACAAAGUGGUGCCGUCUGUUUUGAGAAGUGUACCGGUCCCAUCUGCCGCAAAGCAGACCCAUAUGACUACGCUACCACCCCCAUGCUGCACAGCUGGGAUGGUGGCUAGACCUGGAAUUAAGAUUUUGGCUCCUAUGGAAGUAACAAACGGUCUCUCUGAUGUUUGUCCCGAAGGUAUGUUCUCAGUUCAUGGUGGUGCAGGAAUUGCUUUACCGAAGAUAAUCAUCCCACAGCUGGAGGCUAUAUCGUCGUGGAGUGGACUCACUUAUUUCACGCCUUAACAAAAAGAGAUUCAUCUCUGGAGCAGAAGUUUCUCACCCCUGAGGUGAUGCAGUAUUGUCUGGACGGAUGGGACCUUCAAGCCAUUUUCCAUGAUAUCAAAGUCGGAGGCUCAAUGUUUGAGCUCUGCCUUCAUGUGCAUCCACAGGGGGGCCUACAUUUAACCCAAAUUAAAUGAAUUAACCUAUCA
Non-coding RNA from Oryzias latipes (Japanese medaka), 1928 nucleotides. The record is from RefSeq and is a predicted model, not a curated record. Lineage: Eukaryota; Metazoa; Chordata; Actinopteri; Beloniformes; Adrianichthyidae.